Long non-coding RNA from Herpailurus yagouaroundi (jaguarundi), 276 nucleotides. RefSeq lists it as uncharacterized. The transcript has 3 exons. The record is from RefSeq and is a predicted model, not a curated record. NCBI's taxonomy places the organism in Eukaryota, Metazoa, Chordata, Mammalia, Carnivora, Felidae.
GUGAAGUCUGUGCAGCGUUGAUAUGCCCUGGCCCAGGUACUGGUGGAGCAGAACUUGCCAGCCAUUGCCAUACACUGUGAGACCCUUCAGGAGGAGAGUAGUUUAAAGGUCUUCAAUAUCGAAUUGUUGUGGCCAGCAACCUAUGUGGCCAAGGCAUGGACAUUAAGCAGGUGAACUCUGCCAUCGACUACCACCAGCCUGGCGAUUCCCACACCUACCUGCAUCGGGAGGCCUGAGCAGGCCAGUUCCCCCAAGGGCUUGGCCAUCACAUUUGUG